GAGAGAGAGAGAGAGAAAAUCUCUCACAGAACAGAAAUCCUCAACAUUUUCAUGUACGCCUUUUGCUGCUUUUCAAAAAGUAAACCAAAUUAAUAAUAAAAUAUAAAUAAUACUUAUACUCACAAUGAUCAUUUAUAUUUACAUUAUAUUAUAUAUCAUAUAUUUCCCCUAAUCUUACUUUUUCCAACAGCAAAAAAUCAUAAUCGAAGUAUUUGUUUAUUUAGUACUCAGCUCAAUUCAACAUAAAAACCACCAAAUUAGUGUGUGCUCUCGUUUACAUGUUCUAGCUAUAUUUAAAGGAGAAGCAUGACGAGGCUGAGCCGUGAUUUUAGCUAUAAAACACAAAGAGAUGCAGCUUCCCCAGUGUCAGUAGAUGUGAUUUUUGCAUCCAGUCGAUUUCCAAAUUACGGAUCUAGAGCAAAUAGCAACAUACUAGAGGUGAAGGAAGAUGCUAAGUUAGCUUCCAUGAAGGAAGGUGUUCGAAAUGAGACUGCCAAGUUGAUAGAUCAGGAGAAUCGCCUAUCUGUUCGUGAUCUUGCUAGUAAAUUUGAAAAGGGCUUAGCUGCGGCUGCUAAGUUAUCUGAUGAGGCUAAAUUUCGAGAUGUGGCCUCAUUAGAGAAACAUGUGCUUUUAGAAAAUCUUAGAGAUGCACUCGAGUCCUUGAGAGAGCGUGCAGCGGGUAAAACCAAGGAUGAUGUUAACGAGGCUAUUGCUAUGGUUGAUUCUUUGGCGGUUCAAUUGACUGAGAGGGAAGGAGAGUUGGUUCAAGAGAAGGAUGAGGUUAAAAAGCUUGCAACUUUUUUGAAGCAGGCUUCAGCAGAUGCAAAAAGGCUUGUUGAUGAAGAAAGAGCAUUUGCACGAACUGAAAUUGAGAAGGCUAGAGCUGCAGUUCAGAGAGUUGAAGAGGCUCUUCAGGAGCAAGAAAGAAUGUCCCGAGCUACUGGGAAGCAGGAUGUGGAAGAACUAAUGAAGGAGGUUCAGGAGGCUAGACGGAUCAAGAUGCUGCAUCAGCCCAGUAAGGUUAUGGAUAUGGAACAUGAGCUUCUAGCAUUACGAACUCAACUAGCAGAGACGUCAAAGUGUUCACUGCAGCUCCUGAAAGAGUUGGCGAUGAGCAAGCGGGGAGCGGAAAACACACCAUACGUCUUUGAAUUAGAUGGUAUAGAGGCUUUAGGUUCGUUUUUGCAGAUUCUGCCAUGUUCCAGUAAAGCUCCAGAACUUCUAGACUGUUUGAUCCAGUGGUAUCGCUUGGCAUCUGAAGAUGGAAAAAAGGACCUUAUUUCAGGUGCUACUAAACCAAUUUAUGCUCCUGAGCCCUCAGAUGUUGGCCGAGUGCUUCAAGCCGAGGUCAUGUCAGACGGAACAAGUAUCACAUUGACUACUUCUGGUCCCAUAGAUCCAGCUGCAGGACUAGGAAACUAUGUGGAAGCAUUGGUACGGCGGCAUGAUACCGAGUUUAAUGUGGUUAUUGUCCAAAUGAAUGGGGAUGAACAUCCCUCAGAGUCUAUUCAUGUGCUUCAUGUAGGAAGGAUGAGGAUGAAACUUUGUAAGGAAAAGACAACACUGGCCAAAGAAUUCUAUUCGCCUUUUAUGCAGCUUUGCGGAGUUAGAGGUGGUGGUAACGCUGCAGCUCAGGCAGCAUUCUGGCAACCAAAGACAGGGAUCUCCUUUGUACUUGCAUUUGAGUCAGAAAGAGAAAGAAAUGCUGCCAUUAUGCUAGCGCGCAGAUUCGCCUUCGAUUGUAAUAUCAUGCUUGCUGGCCCUGAUGAUAAAGUAACACAGAAAACAACUUAACUGUUUAAGUUAAUUUGUUUUGUUGUGUUUAGAAUUUGUAAUUAUAUCGAGUGUCUAAUGUUUUGUAACGCAUGUUUCAUAAAGGUCGUCUACUAUGGAGCACAUGACACUAUGACACCCGUUUCCAUAAGUUGCUACUUCGAACAAAUUGUCAAUAUCACAGGUUAAAGCCUAGCUAGUUAUGGAGAUGGGACAUUAGGAAAGUAUCACGGCUUCAAUCCCUACCCGAGUUAUGAAGGUGGAUCAAUUGGUUGAGCCACAAUCUUAAUGAGCUGAUAUGUGAGCAUAAUUAUUUUUCGCAUGAUGGCCUAUUGGAAGUCUGACGUGGGCGAUGGGUUGUUGGAAAAUCUAACAUUUUCAGCAUUACAUGUGUCAUUU
Erigeron canadensis is the source of this 2172-nucleotide RNA transcript. It is a transcript of the gene named stomatal closure-related actin-binding protein 1-like, with no coding region annotated. NCBI's taxonomy places the organism in Eukaryota, Viridiplantae, Streptophyta, Magnoliopsida, Asterales, Asteraceae. The record is from RefSeq and is a predicted model, not a curated record. The transcript is spliced from 15 exons.